This 564-nucleotide ribosomal RNA is filed under the name uncultured Bifidobacterium sp. Its description in RNAcentral is "bacterial SSU rRNA". It matches the Rfam family "Bacterial small subunit ribosomal RNA", at positions 146 to 711 of the family's 1533-position model. The record is from RNAcentral. Lineage: Bacteria; Bacillati; Actinomycetota; Actinomycetes; Bifidobacteriales; Bifidobacteriaceae.
UCUCCUGGAAACGGGUGGUAAUGCCGGAUGUUCCACAUGAGCGCAUGCGAGUGUGGGAAAGGCUUUUUGCGGCAUGGGAUGGGGUCGCGUCCUAUCAGCUUGUUGGUGGGGUAACGGCCUACCAAGGCGUUGACGGGUAGCCGGCCUGAGAGGGCGACCGGCCACAUUGGGACUGAGAUACGGCCCAGACUCCUACGGGAGGCAGCAGUGGGGAAUAUUGCACAAUGGGCGCAAGCCUGAUGCAGCGACGCCGCGUGCGGGAUGGAGGCCUUCGGGUUGUAAACCGCUUUUGUUCAAGGGCAAGGCACGGUUUCGGCCGUGUUGAGUGGAUUGUUCGAAUAAGCACCGGCUAACUACGUGCCAGCAGCCGCGGUAAUACGUAGGGUGCAAGCGUUAUCCGGAUUUAUUGGGCGUAAAGGGCUCGUAGGCGGUUCGUCGCGUCCGGUGUGAAAGUCCAUCGCUUAACGGUGGAUCCGCGCCGGGUACGGGCGGGCUUGAGUGCGGUAGGGGAGACCGGAAUUCCCGGUGUAACGGUGGAAUGUGUAGAUAUCGGGAAGAACACCA